CCGAACUGUUGACACGAGUUGUUGCUGGUCCUCAAGCGGGGGCAUGUGCACGCUCUGUCUACGUAUCCACUCACACCAGUGCACCCUCUGUAGUUCUGCGGUCUGGGGGACGCUGUCUCCCGGCUUUAGUUCUACGUUUUCACACACACGCUGUAACGAAGUCUUACGGAACGAAUGCCGCGUUUAACGCAAUACAAUACAACUUUCAGCAACGGAUCUCUUGGCUCUCGCAUCGAUGAAGAACGCAGCGAAAUGCGAUAAGUAAUGUGAAUUGCAGAAUUCAGUGAAUCAUCGAAUCUUUGAACGCACCUUGCGCCCUUUGGUAUUCCAAAGGGCAUGCCUGUUUGAGUAUCAUGAACACCUCAACUCUCAUGGUUUUCCGUGAUGAGCUUGGACUUUGGAGGCUUUGCUGGCCCCUACGGGUUGGCUCCUCUCAAAUGGAUCAGCUUGCCAGCGUUUGGUGGCAUCGCAGGUGUGAUAACUAUCUACGCUUGUGGUUUUCCACCAGGUAACCUCCAGCGAUGGAGGUUCGCUGGAGCUCAUAAACGUCUCUCCCUGGCAGAGACAGCUUUGAACG
This 577-nucleotide small RNA is filed under the name uncultured Tomentella. RNAcentral's name for it is "eukaryotic LSU rRNA". The stretch from base 201 to 354 matches the Rfam family "5.8S ribosomal RNA". Lineage: Eukaryota; Fungi; Basidiomycota; Agaricomycetes; Thelephorales; Thelephoraceae. The record is from RNAcentral.